Molecule: long non-coding RNA, 508 nt
Filed under: Rosa chinensis
Lineage: Eukaryota; Viridiplantae; Streptophyta; Magnoliopsida; Rosales; Rosaceae
Description: sRNA RchiOBHm_Chr2g0130231
Source: RNAcentral
CUUUUCCUCUAUUCUGUUCGUCUUUCUUUUCUCUUCUAUCUCCUCUUUUCCUCUAUUAUGACAGGAUGAAGAGCAGCUAGCUAUGUCUAUUUUGAGCAAUUUCUUGAAGAGAUAGGUGAACUCGGGAUCGUUGCAGCCGAUUGGGGUUGUAGGUGGGUGAGGUGAAAUGUAUUAGAUUAGGUUUUUGACAUUGAGAGGAACGACUGGUUGGUAGAUCUCCUGAUAAACUCGAUGGAGUUGACCUAAAUCGGUUCAUUUAGUCGUCGGUUGUAUUCUGCAGAAUUUGGUAGAUCUAGAAAGGAAAAUAGCUCAAGGAGGUGAUGGAAAGAGGAGCAGACGAGGAGGAGAUCUGGGUAAUCAUCGGGGUAUCAGAUCGAGAUGGAGUUAUGGGCUCAAAGAACUGAAAGACGAAAGAGGGCGGAGCAGAGUUAAUUAGGAUAACGCGACGGCUAGUUUUUUGCAGUCGCCAAUUGUUAAUACCUUGCGACGGCAAAUUCUUGCCGAAGUA